GCCAGCAGCCAUAUUACCCUGCAACUCACAACUAGCAACCCACUGAAGCUAAGCAGGUGUGAGCUUGGUUGGUACCUGGAUGGGAGACCUCUUGAGAAAAACUAAGGUUGCUACUGGAA
Molecule: ribosomal RNA, 119 nt
Filed under: Lepisosteus oculatus (spotted gar)
Lineage: Eukaryota; Metazoa; Chordata; Actinopteri; Semionotiformes; Lepisosteidae
Source: RNAcentral